GGCCUGGUAGCUCAAUUGGUUAGAGCAUUGUCCUGAUAUGCCAAGGUUGGGGGUUUGAUCCCUCAUCAGGGCA
Molecule: non-coding RNA, 73 nt
Organism: Myotis brandtii (Brandt's bat)
Lineage: Eukaryota; Metazoa; Chordata; Mammalia; Chiroptera; Vespertilionidae
Source: Rfam